AUUUGUCAUUAAAUUUACUAUACAGUAAUAAAAGGAACGGGAAAUGUAAAAACAAUGCUAAAAAAAAAAUUCGGUAUAAAUUUGAUCUAAUAUUGAAAAACGAUAGCUCUUUUAAAGCGGAUAUUAAAACCCGUGUUAAGAAAUGAACAAAAAUGUGUUUCACUGAUUUUGUUGACGAUUUGUUAUCAUUCAAACGCCGAUACACAAAUUUAUGAUUGGAAAGGAAUACUAAUUUAAAUAAACAGAUUUUGAUUCAUUUAAAAAUGUCAGCUAAAUAUUAAAAAAAAACGUUACAAGUUAACAAUACCAAGCUGUCCUAAAUGAAAACAUUUUUAACAAAUGUACCGACUACAUAUAUUUAUGCGAGAAUUCCUGAGAAUAUAAUUUGUGCAAUCACACAUGUAUUCUUAUAUAUUAUUUAAUCCAUUCCGUUUUAAUUAAUGAAGAAACAUUAAUAUUGUUUUUCCUAUUGAAAAUAUACGUGUAUAUACACAAAUUUUUUGUUUUGCAGCGCGAGAGGAAAGCCGAAUUUUCCAUACAAGUGUUUAUUGAGAUUUGCUACAUUUAGGAAAAUUUGGUUUGAAGAUAUUCCGGAUCUACCACUGCAAAUCGUUAGCCGAAUGGGACCACAGGCAGUGCAGGAUACAAAAUGGCUCACGGCUUAUGAUCUUCCCGUUCGAUGCAACCGUCUGUGGAGUAACCGUAAGAUACAAAUUUAAACCCACUUUAUGCAUGCUGCCAUGUUGUACUACUACCUUUUAUAAAAUCGAAGUUCUGCAACAUUCAACAGUUACGUAAAUUGUCGUGUAUGAUUUUAAUUAAAAUGUAUUCAUCGGUAUAAUUUAGCCACUGAUUUGAUUUAGGUCAUAAUGAAAAAUUAAAGUUUGCAAUUGUAAGAUAUGCGUCGCUAAUUUUGCUGAUUAACUUUUUCUAUCCACCCACAAUUUUUUGUAUUAACGUAGUUAUGCAAUAAAAUAUGCAGGAAAGGUUGUAUAAAAACGUUUCUUCUUUACAAAAUAAACCAGCAGUUUAAUUACAUCUCCUAGUAUAGUGUUAUAAACAAAUAAAGAUGGUGUCAUAAAACCAGUGUGGUUUUGAAGACAGCAUAAGCGACAGGAUCAUCAUACUAAAAAUGAUAAAUGAAAAAUAAAAUAUAAUGGAUUUUCGGAAUUAUAUUACUUAGUGCUUUAAUCCAGCCACUCGCAUACAUUGUUGUGAGGAUUAAUAAUUAUUACGAAGUGAAUCAAAGUUAUUAAAAAUAUGCUUUGAUUGAAACCAAUUAUGAUUGUUGUUAUUUUUGCAGGAAGUGUAACUUAAU
Molecule: long non-coding RNA, 1318 nt
Organism: Glossina fuscipes
Lineage: Eukaryota; Metazoa; Arthropoda; Insecta; Diptera; Glossinidae
Exons: 3
Source: RefSeq, a predicted model, not a curated record